CCUGAGUCCCUGCUAACUCGGACAGAGGAACCCCUGGAAGUCCCUGACCGUCACACCUGGGCCCCGCAGAGUGCUGGGCUCAUUGGCACGUCACACUUAGAUGACAGGGGUAGCCGUGCCUUCUUGGCAGGCAGGACUCUAGCCAACAGGUAAGACCUUUCCAGGCUGGGAGUAAACAUAGGCCGCCUUUCCAGAUCAGGUGAGCAUCGCCACCUGGCAGGGAGGAGGCACGGAUUCGUUGCAGGAGAAAGAACUUGAGCUUGGGGCAGGAGGAAAAAUGAGAACUUGAGUUCAAGGGCUGCCACUGCCGCCAUGAAAUGAAGUAUCUGACUGGGACUUUUUGCUUUUACAUCAGGGAAAGCUGCUUUAAGGCAAUCCUGUUUCCUAUGUCUUUCAUGUUCCACUGUCCUGUGAUCUGGGGACAGAGUAGGGGAACAAGAUUGAGCUGAUCUCUGACUUUCUGGAGCUACACUGGAGUUGGGGAGAUGGACGGAUGGUACACCAUGGACCGAGCAGAGAGAAAGAUUGCUCCGAAGGAAACCAAAAAGAGUGGGAAGAUCAGGACUGGCCUAUUUUGGAUCCGGAGGUAAUGGGACGUCUUCCUGAGGAGAGGAUGCUUUAAACCGAGUCAGGAAUGAAGAGAAGGGGCCCGCAGGUGAGUAGUAGCUGGCAGAAGGGGGAUCCAGGAGGUGGGACUCGAGCUCAGCCUGUUGGCUGUGUGUCUGGAGAGCAGCAAGUGUGGGGAGCUGGUCAGGAUGAGGUUUGAGAGGCCAGCAGGUAUCAGGUCACGCCUGGUCCUAUAUGUGGGCCAUAUCUGGAUGUUUGAUUUUAUCCUCAGUACAAAGGCAAGGUCAAGUGUGCUUAGAAAUCUGACAUAAUAAUGCAACAUUAAGUUUCAACUCGGCAUGUGUAAAGAUUUGCUGAGUGACUGCAAAAUAAAUAAACGGAUUGAUGCUCCAGGGUCAGAAAAUGUCUUUUAUUUUAUUUUAUUUUAUUUUAUUUUAUUUUAUUUUAUUUUAUUUUAUUAUUUUUUAUUUUAUCUAUUCUAUUCUAUUCUAUUUUAUAUUUUAUUUUUUUUCUAUUUUAUUUUAUUUUUAAGCUAUGGUUUUGACUUCUGUUACAUGAAAAAUCACUCCCAUUUAGAUUUAUUUCCUCCAGAUGAGGAAACCAUCCCAGCGAAGUGACAAAAGACAGGGCCAUAUCCCUGUGAAACCAGCAGGCACCCGGGAGCUAGCAGGAGGGAGAGAACAAACACGGGCUUUGAGGUCAGGUAGAUAUGGUUUCCAGACCAGCUCUGCACUUACUGAUGUGGGGCUUUGGAAUAGACACCCUGUAGGUUCUCUGUGAGGCCAUUUUCCAUCUUUAAAAUGGACGUAAUACCAUUUACCUCCUAAUAUAUUGGUGUGGACUCAAAGGGGAGAAUUUAAACAUCUGGCACACAAAAGACACUCAAGAAAUACUGAUUUCUAUGUUCCUUCAUCCCCCCACAUUUGACCAAGCCUUCCCCAAAUAGAACAUCCUUUAGAGUCUUACCCAUUUUUUGUUGUCACUGAUGGGACAUCCGAAAGGAUGUGAGGGUUUUUUUUUUUUUUUUUCUUGUUUGUUUGUUUGGUUUGUGGUAAGCUGACUUUGCACUUUAAAAGGGAAAAGAAGGAAAUCUGUAGUACCUCCAACAAUGAGCCUUUUUAAAGCCUGCAUUGGACUCCAAUUUCAAAGAAUAUUCUUAUUAACAUACUUUCUUAUAAAUGGAGCGCUGCUCAUCAAAUAUUUAUAAGUAGUAGCCCGAGAAGCCAGCACAGUGCUUGGCAAGCCUGGGGACAUUUCCCACGUGCGCUGUGGGAUGGCGUAGGCAGGGGAGAUCCUUUAAUUUUGUGACAUGGUUUGGGGGCUCCAGCGUGAGCUAGUCUUGGCAAGGUUUCUCCCUGCUCUUGGCCUGUUCUGGAGCCUUUCAGGACUCCCACGUAGACCGUCCUUGCAGGCAACUCCCUUUGAAGUCCCCGGGAGCUCUUUGAAUGGAAAACAUACACAACGGGGUGUUGAUGCAAGGAAGCAUCAGACCUGAUAUACGUGGAGAAUAAAGGUGCUUCUCACCCCAAAUAUUAGCUCUUUAGCCCAGAAACUAUGGUUUGAUCAUUAAAUAAAAAGGCCACCCCCUCCCCCCCAAAACCCACAAUCUACCACCAAAGCACCACCAUCCACUCACUCAGGAAACGAUAAACCUGCUAAUUACCAGAGAGUUUUAAUUAAGCAACAGAUAUAGACAGUGCAGGGCUCUGUUUUUACUUUAGGCAUAUCAAUAAAAUAAAAUUCCCAAUUCCAGGGAAACUUGCUAAAUGAAAAAAAAAAUAAACAUUACUGUCUUUUGAGAUAUCACUCAUCGAGUGCGAUAAUUUAGAAAAAUAUCUCUAUUAGAGAUAGUUAGAGAUAUUUUUUGGUUGCAAAUGCAGUCGCCGGUACAGCACCAAGCUGCAAUUCGCAGACAGGUUAAGUAAAUUAAAUCACUCACUGUCUUUUUUUUUUCCAAUGGCUUUAAAAGUUAAAGGUAAUUUGCAAAGAAAAUGCUCCGUUUGAAUUGGUUUGUAAUAUCUGUUAAUGAUCUUUAAAAAAAUCCACUUAUUCACAAUCCUGUCCCUGAGGGAAUUCCAACGUGCUAUCAGAAAAAUUUCUUAAGUCUGAAAUGUCAUUAGCUAGUGAUUUCUUUGAAGUAAAAAGCCCUGAAAAAAUAAAUUAUAUAAGGUAUACAAGUGCGCAGGACAAUCACUUUGAUGAAUAAUAUCUGUGUUUUUCGUACCUAAAAAUGCAACAAUUGAAAUCCAAGCUGCUAAAUUAUAGAGCUGUCUUCUGAAUUACCUCGGUGUAGGUAUGCCUGUUCUGUUUAUUUCACACGUAUAUUGAGUUCUUCCAUAUAUUUAUAGAUUGUUGAUGUGAAAACAGUAGUGUUGGGCCAAUUUUGAUUAUGUUCAUUGUGUUUACCUUUUGGAAACGCAAGGUGUUGCCUAAAUACAGCUCUACAGGUGUUGCCAUCCAGAAUUAAAACAAUAGGCUGUUUCCACGCAGUAUCGUGGAUCCCAGGGCCAGGCGCCCCAAACGGGGGUGCAAAUACCUUCGCAGGCCCGCGAAUUGUCCAAUAUUCAAUAACAGAGCUGUGAAAUACUACACCAAAGGGGAAAUUUUCUUCCUGACCCCAGCUGGCUAUCGGUUUUUGCCUGGAAGCAGGGGAGUCUUUGUAAUACAAUAUUAGGCAGUGUAACUGCGGAUGCUGGUUUGGCUGCUAUAAAUAGCUAAUCUUUGUGUUUUUUUUUUGAAGGAGGAGUGGGAUUUUCUUAAAACCAUUGGCUGCAGGUUAAUUACACAUUUCAUAAGAACACAUUUCCUUGUAGCCAGCCUAAAUUUGUUACCUUUUAAUCCUGCUUUAUAUAAGGCUAGAAUUGUAUGAGCCUCCAGGAGCACCUUCAUUAAGUCUUUAUUUUCUACGUUGGACCUUUAACUUUUUUUUUUUCUUCUUUUUACACAUCACUUACCUCUUAGCUAAACUGCGAAGGGACCCAGUUUUAUUCAUUUUCCCUCAAGGAGAAGGCAUUCUCUCCUUCCUAGUCCAGCUAGGUGUGAUUCUUAUUUUCUGCUCUGUAACUGACAUCUGGAGAAUACACUGACCAUAGGUAAGAACAAGCCACUGAUUGAUUUUAAUAAAGAUGUUCGAUAAUAUUUAGUGCUUCCAUUUACUUCACUGAAGGAAUGGAAAUCAAUAUUUGAAAUGUUUUGGGGAAGUUUUCUUGGGGUUCCAUGUAUGGAAGAUUACACAGAGCAGGAACAUGGGACCCAAUAUGCUAUCCUGGAGAGAACACAUCCCGUAAUUACCUUGCAGGACAAGAAAGAGAAUAUACAGCCACCGUGUCCGAUGGCCUCUAGGAUGGGACUCCCCUUUCCUGCUUAAAGAUAACCGCUCUUCUGAUGUCUAACACCACAGAUUUGUGUUUUGUUUUUGUUUUUCAACUUCAGGUGUAUUUAUGGGCUGUAUCUGUGUUGCUGGGUGCAAUCCUAUUUUCCUUGUUUCAUUUCCUUCGAUUGUAUUAAUACCCAUUUCAGCCUUGAUGAUCAUUUUGGUUGUUUUCCGUUUUUGGCUCUCUCAGAGAGUGCUACUGUAAGCUUCUUCAUGCACGUCUUUGAUGGGUGUGCGUGUGUUUUCUUUGGGUAGAUAGACUAAGGGGGAAGUUACUAAGUAGUAGGGCAUGACUGUGCUCAGCUUUAAUGAUGUCCAUUUUCCAAAGAGGUUGUAUCAGUUUCCACUCCCACCAGCAGUGGGCGAGAGAUCCGCUGCUCUAAUCCUUAUUAACAUUUGGUAUUCUUCCUCUUUUUGAUUUUGAUCAUUCUGGUGGUAUGUACUUGAAUCUCAUUAUGGUUUUAAUUUCAUUUCCCAGAUUAUUAAUAAGUUGAGUAUCUUUUCAUGUACACUGGCCAUUUGGAUAUUUUGUGAAUGGGCUUUUCAAGGGUCUUGGUAAUUUUUCCAUUGCAAUGUUCAUCUUUUCUUUUUUUUUUUCAGUGUUUAUUUUUGAGAGAGAGACACAGAGUGUGAGUUGUGGGGGGGGUGCAGGGAGAGAGGGAAACACAGAAUCUGAAGCAGGCUCCGGACUCUGAGCUGUCAGCACAGAGCCAGAGACGCUGGGCUAGAACUCAUGAACCAAAAGAUAAUAACCUGAGCCAAAGUCAGACACUUAACUGACUGAGCCACCCAGGUGUCCUGUGUUUUUCAUCUUUUCUUACUGUUUUGUAGGAGAUACUUAUAUAUUCUGGAUGUGAUGCUUUUUUAUUCAUAUAUAUUGCAAAUAUACCACCCUGAGUUUGAUUUUUCACUCUUUUUAUGGUAUCUUUGGAUGGAUAGAAGAUUUUAAUUUUAAUGUAGUUUAAUUUUUGCAAUAUUUUCCUUUAUAGUUAGUGCUGUCUAUGUCUUAUUUAAGAGAGCUUUGUUUAUCUGAAGGCCAUGAAAAUAUCCUUUUAUACUGUCUUCUGGAAGCUUUAUUGUUUUACCUUCCACGUUUAGAUUUAUAAUCCACAUGGCAUUGAUUUUGGCCUAUGGCGUGAGGUUGGGAUCAAAUUUGUUUUUUCCUCCAUGAUAUCUACUUACUCUGUACCAUUAAUGAAAAAGACUUCGUUGCCCAGUACACUGAAGCAAUCUGUUUGUCAUAAAUUAAGUACUCACUUAUUUAUAGAAUGAUCAUAUGAUUUCCUCCUCCCCCCUUUAUUCUUUUAGAAUGUGAAUUAUUUAAUAAAUUUUUGAAUGUUAAUCCCAUUUUACAUUUCUGGACUAAACCCAAUGUACUUAUGAUAUAUUAUUUAUUUGAAGUAUUGCAGCGUGUUUUGAUAAUUUUUCCAACAAUGAGUAUGCCUGAAAUUUACCUGUUAUUUUCCUUUACCGUAAUACCCUUGUCAGGUGCAUUAUCGAGGUUUAGCUGGCUCAUAAAAUGAGUUGGAGAGGCGUCCUCUGUAUAUUAUUUAACAAAAUUAAAACAUAAAUAAGACUAAUCUAAUAUAGUUAUUUAAAAUAUAUGUAGUUUGUCUUAAGUAUAUCAUUAGGUUCUCCAGAGAAACAGAGCCAGUGUGUGUGUGUGUGUGUGUGUGUGUGUGUGUGUGUGUGUGUUUAUUAUAGGAAUUGUCAGCACAGUUACAGAGGCCAAGAAGUCCCACAAUCUACUGUCUGCAAGCUGGAGAGCCAGGAAAGCUGAUCAUGUAACUCAGCCCAAGUCUGAAGGCCUGAGAAUCACAGGGAUGUGUGUGGAGGGCAAUUGUGUAAGUUCUCGUUGAUUCUGAAGGCUUAAGAACCAGAAGCUCUGAUGCCCAAGGGCAGGAGAAGGUGGAUGUCCCAGCUGAGGCAAGGAGAAAAUUCACCCUUCCUCUGCCUUUCUGUUCUGUUCAGGCCCUCAGUGGAUUGGAUGAUGCCUACUGGUGAGGGUGACCUUCUAUACUCAUCUACUGGUUGAAACGCUAGUCUCUUCCAGAAACAUCCUCACAGACACAUCCAGAAGUAAUGUUUUACCAGGUAUCUGGGCAUCUCUUAGCCAUGUCAAGUUCAUGCAUAAAAAUAACCAGCACAGUAAGUAUUCACCACAAUGUUCUUUCAUUCCAGGCUUCUGUAGAUGUUAACUUAGACAUGCGGCAGGAGACUGGUUUUGUGUGAGUUUGUUUGGGGAAGAAAAUGGAGGUUCCACUAUCUUCUGGGAGUUUUCCGUGGGCACUGACAGCCUGCUCGUGUGCCCAGGGCCGAAAUCUGUUAUUCCAUCUCAAUCCUAGAACCCACGAUCACAGCUCAUCCUGGGUUUAAAGGAGGGCCUAUGAGAUGAGAAGCUUUUUGGACAUAUGACCAACAUUCAGAUAAAACACCUGCUCCCACCGAGGACCUUCAAAGCCAAUUUCAUCUGCUUUUGGCCCCUUCAGGUACUGUUCCAUGGAGGUUUUUUUUUUUUUAAUUUUAAUCUCCUUCAAAACUGUAUAUCUCAUACCUGACCCCAUCUCUCCAUUCCUACUUGCUAUUGUCCAAGUUCAAGGCCUUAUCAACUCUUGCUUGGACUAUAUGGCACUUGUGGGGCACCUAGUGUCCAUUUCAUCCCCUUUCCAGCCGUCCAAGUGCUCACUCUAAAAUGGGCAGCUGGCCUGUAAGUCCAUGUUGAAAACUGCUCCGUGGCUCUCCAUUGCUCUAUGAGGGGAAGUCCGGGCUCAUGAACACGGCACACGACUUCUCCUAUGACCUGGCUCUUGCUUGCCUCUCCAGCAGCUCUCUUCUCCUCUUCAGUCUUUGCCUCACACUCCGGCAGCUCUGUCUGCUGCAGUUCCCAGUGUUCCCCCAGGGUUCUUUGUGUCCCAGCUUUUGUGUAUGCUGAUCUUGCCCCAGGGGAUGGACUGUCUGUGUCUUUUGCCCGGGCAGUCCAUUCUUUAACAAUCAACCCAGGCCAGAGACCCUUGAUCCCACCCAGCUGGAGCUGCAUGGUCUCCUUUUCAUCCAUGCCUCUGUCUCUGAUUAGACUCUGAACUUCCUGAAGGCUGGGUCCAGAUUUUAGUUAUUCCUACAUCUAUAACUCACUAUGUGUUGGAUGAUAGCAGGUGUUCAAUAAACACAUAAUAGACUUAAACAGAAGGAACAGUGCUUACUAGUUGACUGGUUUGAGUUUCAUUCCGUCUCUUUUUGGAAGCCCCAGAUGGAAUGAAAUGGUCCAAGUGCCAUGACUAGAAGGGAGGCAGGAAGGCAAAGGUUAUGGAAAAUCUGCAGAUAUCAAUCUCUUCCUGAAUGACUGAUUGCGGUUCAUCUGAUUAAGACUCUUAUGAUGGAAUUCGCUUUUUCUAGAAUGGACUAGUAACAAGGAUUUUCUAUAAAGAUAGAUUUUUCCAGAGAAACAAAUUUGAACACUUUCCUCCAAGAACUUAAAUGAAAAAAAAAAUAAUCCUACUUGAAAGGCAAAUUGACCAAUGUCCUUCCCCUUUUCUCUUAUUAAUAAAAGAGUUUACACAGAAACUCUAUAAGAAAUUGUGUAAGAGAUUCACAAGGAUCAUUAAAGUCUCUACUAGACAUUCACUUUCACUUUGCAAAAUUGGCUAUACCCUCAAAAUGGUAUCACGUAAAAAUGGACUUUCUGGGGCUCUUAUAUAUGAAUGGGUUUUAGUUGCACAGUGGGGCCAUUCAUUUUAUUUGGCCCAUUUAUUGCAAGUACAUUCUAAAUUUGGCCUUAAUUAUUUUUCCUUUCACAAAAAUAUUUUGUGGGAUCUUUUUGAACCCUGACUACUUCCUUCUUGCCCCUUAAAACAGAAUCCAGGAGUGUUAUUUUUGUUCUCUUCUAAUUAAAAUAAUUGCUUGGUUCCUUUUAACUAGAUUCAUGCAGUUAUUAGCCUAAUACAUGGAUGGGUGCCAUGGGGUGCUUGAGAAACAAAAUGAAAAGUGAUCAUGUAGCUUCACAUGAAAAAGAUUCUGUGGUGCCAAGGAGUAUUAUUCCUUUCAGCCGGCAUCUUAUAAGGGCCUUUAGUAAACCUUGUCCCCCACCCCCCAGACCCUUACUAAAAGACUAUUAAGUGAAAGAAUGCUUCUAUUUUCUCUAUUAGGUAGACAGUGAACUCGGUACAAUUUGAAGAGGGGCACUUGAUAUGCCGGGUAUGGCACAAAGACUGGGGGUCUGGUUUUAAUCUCUGCCCCUGCUUUGUCUUACAGAGUAGCUGCAAUUGAAGGAUAAAUGCUCCAUGCCAGUUGGUGUUUGUUCAGAGGACACUGGAAGAAGAGGGACAAAGGUGGCUUGGAUGUAUGUGUUCAUCAAGGGUUGUCAGGACCCCAUUUCUAAAAGGAGGUUUUAAAAUAACGUUUUUGACAUCGAGAUGGUUCUGGAAGUUGAUGUCGUCCAACAGUUUGGCAAACGAAGGAAGGAGGCCUGUGGGCUAAAGCUGACGUGUUGCCUGUCUUUUGUAAAUAAAGAUUUAUUGAAACACAGGCACGCCCAUUUGUUGACGGAUUGCCUGCUGCUGCUUUUGCACUAGAACACGGAGUAGUAGCGACAGUGACCACAUGGCCUACAGAACCGAAAGGAUUGACUGUGGUUCUUUACAGAAAAAGGGUGCUGGCUCUUGAUGUAGUCUAUCCAAUUCGCUGAGUAUCUUCUAAAUAGCUACUCCAUGCUGAAAAAUGUAUUCAUAGGCAUUCGGAUAGCAGCUCUCAUCUGAUGAAAUGCUGAGGGCCUUUGGGAAUGUGCUGAUGUAACGGGUGUUCAGUACUUGGCGUAUGGACAGCAGGAAGUGACGCAGAUUUGGGGCUGGAAGUCAUGGUUGAGAAAAGACUGUCAUUAUUGUCUCAGUGGCAAGUCACCGAUCACGGCUGGGCUCUUCCUUUGUCUGCUACAUGAAGGAGAAGGUGCUGAAACUUCUGGCUUGGAGUUCACUUUUAUUAACUACUUCAAGACCUUAUGGAGGUCAACAUUAUGGAGGUCUGCCUCCAGGCCAAAAGUUGGGCACCCCUUGCCACUAAUGGGUCAUUGAGUGGGUCAAGUGAGAGAAUGUGAGUCUCUAAACCGUAAGAUGCUGUAUUUGUGACAUAUGAAAACAGCAGGGUAAGUGUUAUUGCUGUUUGGCUUGUGAAGACGCAAGACAGAUAGCCUACCCCAGGUCAAGUGCUAAGCCAUUAGAGGAGCUGGAAGCUAGGUUUCCUGAUUUAAGUCACCAUUCUUUACAGCAUACCAUAUGCUGUUUUAAAAAUUUUACUUUAUUUGAGAGACAGAGAAAGUGCAAGUCGGGGAGGGGCGGAGAGAGAGGGAGAGAGAGAGAGAACCUCAGGCAGGUUCCUCAAAUCAGUGUGGAGCCCAACUCACAGCUUGAACCCACGAACCGUGAGAUCAUGACCUGAGCCGAAGUUGGACGCUUAACUGACUGAGCCUCCCAGACGCCCCCACCAUAUGCUUCUUUACAGCAUGUUUCUUUCCAUGGCUUCAGAAAGGCUCAGUUCUUUCGUUCAUUCAUUCAUUCAUUCAUUCAUUCACUCAUUCACUACUGAAUAUUAUUUAAAAGCCUGCUAUGAAUGGAAAAGGAGCUGAAUUUUUCAGGGAGAGUGAGGACUAUGUAAAGAAAAGUUGGAAGACUCUUAGAAUGAUUUUGUUCUUGAAUCGUGAUGAGAAUCCUCCAGAAGGAUACAGAUUCUUCUCUCGAUUUCCUCUGUCCUGCCCAACGGGCUGGCCCUUAGUUGAGAUAUGGAGAACAAAAGAGUAGAUGGGUUGGAAAAGGAAGAGCAAUCCUGUCAUUCAACAGCCUGACAUGUUCUUUUAUGGUGUGUGUGCGUGCGUGCAUGCGUGUGUGUGUGUGUACUAUUUAUGUGUGUGUAUAUACCAUGAAAGCAAAGAGAGAGAUGCUGAAAUGUUGAUAGCAGAUUGUACCAGCAACUAACGGUUGCAGACCGUCUAGGUUUGGAAGAUUUGCAAGUUAACAUUUUGUGUAUAAAGUCCAAGGGCCUCCAGAUCAGAGGAAUUUUCAAAUACGAAUUGUCCAAUUAAGUGACAUAAAUUAAACAUGCCAGAUGUGGACUUAUUUUACCACACUGUUUAAAUACAGCCUUCAUUCAGAUUGUAUUCAUUCAAUGAUGUGUCCUGUAAUUUUUGAAAUGAUGAUUAUCAAAUGUGCCCAGAGGAAGCAGCUUCCACCAAAAUACUAAGUUUGCCUUGUCAUGGUCAGAGAAGUGAAAGUUUCUGUUUUUUUUUUUUUUUUUUUUGAAAGUUUCUGUUUUUGAUACUUGCUAUUUUAACAGGGAAAUUUGCCAAUAUUUUCUUAAUAUCCAGUGUUGUGGGCUACUUGUAUUUUGUUUUUUUUUUCCAGGUUGAUCUGCGAGCCUAAGUCUAUGGUUCUCUGAAGCAAAGGUGCCAGUGAAGUUGCCUCAUAAAAAAAAAAAACAAAAAACCUUCCAGAAUCUUCCAUUGGAGAAUUGUCACCUGCAAAGACCUCUGAGAGGUACAGUAGAAAAUUCUGCCUUAUUCUCCUCCACCUCCCAUCCCAUAAGUCAGUCACAGCCCUGACAACUGAAUUUGGGGGGGUUGGUAGUAUCUGCUUCUGUAAUUCAUUAACGAAACCAUGUUACUUCUCAGAUGGUCCCAGGACCCAGGCUGCUGCUAUUUUAAGAAACGUAAUUUGGUUCAGCACACAAAAAACAUAUUCAUAGCAGGUCUUAGUAGUGAUACAGGUAACACUUUUCAGAUAACUGUGAGAAAUUUGUAAGCAUUAACUAAUUUAUUUAACUUCCCUGUAAUUGAGUGAAUUUUCUUCCAUUUGCGGCGGGAAAGCCCUUCCUUUUCUAAUUCUAAUCUUUUAGCAGGUGUUCUCCUGAAUAAUUGUCAUUAGGGUGGAAAUGUUUUGUAGAGGGGAAAUAAAUCUUUCAACACAGUGUAAAAUCCCACCAGAAUAGAUGACCUCCAUUUCCUCAGUGUAUAGCCUAUUUUUAAGUGAUUAAACAAUGCUCUGGAAAAAAGUCACAUUUCCUUGAAAACCAUAGGAACCGUUCUCAUAUUACUAUAGCCGCUGUCACUACCACUAAUGUGUGCCAUGUUCCUGAUGGUUUACACGUAUUACUUUGAGUUCCCCAGGAAGGAGAACUUGAGGAAGAAUUUCAUGUGCUGUGUCUUUAGUGGAGAGGUCAGUCCCAGAAUGGGAUGGGUUUGGGAGAAUGGUGGUGAGGCUGAGACGAAAGGAGCAGAUACAAGGGUGUGUUAUUGAUGUGGUCCCAACUUGGUGUGUGGCGUAACUGAUUGCUCAGUCCUUGGGAAGGUGGUAGGCUAAAUAUUGACCUCCAGAGAAAUGUCUUGUAUCCUAAUUCCUAGAACUUGUGAAUGUUACCGACUGUGCCAAAGGCUUUGCAGAUGUGACUAAGGGUCCUGAGGUGGAGCGAUCACCUUGGGUUAUCUGGGUAGGUCCUAAAUCCGAUUGUAAGUGUCUUUAUAAGAUGGCGGCACAGGCAGAGGUAGAUCUGACACAUGGAGGAGAGGGCAGUGUGAUCAGGGAGGCAGGAGUUAGAGUGAUGGGGUCACAAACGAUCGCAUGUGGGCGGUCACUGGAAGCUGGAAUCCAUGAGGAAGGGACCCUCCGGUAGGGCCUCUGGAAGUGGCACAGCCUCUACUGGCCCCUUGGCAGUACUGACCGCAGACUUCUGCAAUAAUCCACGUCUGUUGUUCUGAGCCAUCACGUUUGUGGCAAUUUGUUAUAGCAGCCACGGGGACCCAAUACAGGGACUGUCCUCCCAGAGCAUAAACCAUGAGGUCUCAGGAUGGACUAAUAGAAGGAAGAUGGCAAAAGAAUUUGUUGGCUAGUGCCAACCACCGGUUGGUGAACGGUUUUCCUCGUGGGACAUUAACACCCCCUUACUUCCCCGUCUUACCUCUGGGCUGAGCAUGGCUGGGAGUGGAGUUUCGCUGGAGUUGUCUCAUGCUUCGUGGGUGAUAGGGAAGCUCCGGGAAGGGAGGGCAGAGCCCCGCCAAGGGGACAGAAGAAGAGGCUCCAUUGGGUUGCACAUGACGAAGUCUGUGGAGUGGAGGCAGGGGGAAGCAAAUAGCUGACAGUCCCGAGCAGUGUGGCCAAGUCGCCACCUGAAAGGUGGCACACAAGGGGAUUUGAAGCAAUGUUCUCCUUGGCCCUCCUCACAGGCGCACGAGGCACGGGGGGUAUGAUCUCGUCAGCAUGCACUCAUUCUCCGGUCUUGAAUAGCAUUAGCUUCUGGAGCUCACUGUCACUCAGGGCUGCACGUGUCACCUUCAAAUGCGGUCAUGGAAGUCCUUUCCGUCAGUUGGGUCAAAAGCUGCCUUCGCGGACUACUCCACGAGUGGCUCUAGGUUUACUUCUUGAUGCACAUUAAAAUAAGGCUCAUUCUUGCACGUGAUAGCUCUCUGCAAAUAUUUGAAGACAGUUUUUAUCCUUUUCCCCCCUACCACGCAGAGCUCCUCCCACUUCUUCAACUGGAGCAUAGGGGAGGAGCUUUCUCUUUGUGGCUGGUGGCCACGCCCACCCCUCCUCUGGCCAGGUUUCAGUUUGUGCCCCCGUAGGGAAGCUCACAGAAUGCCCCAGAACUUCAGGUAUGGUCUUCUCGGGCAUAUGGGGUUCCUCCCUCCUUGGUUCUUACAUCGUUUAAUGUAGCCAGAGAUUCUUGUUAUUUCAUUUUUUGCCAAGCACGAUGUUUUUUUUUUGGUUGUACAGAGCAUAGUGUUGAUCACAGCGCUUCUGACACUUGUUUGUGUACGGAUGACCCUGGAAGUGUAGGUUAGUACCAAAGGUGCCCCAAGGGCUCCAAAGAAUGAAUCACUUUGCAAGUGGUGUUAUUGUAUGCUCAAAUCGUGGAGAUCAGAGUGUCACCCCACGUCAAGGCACAUAAACAGGCACAGUUUUGUGCAGUGUUGAGGUCAGUUGGGGAUCCCUACAGGUCAGCACCAAUUGGCCACGUGAGAUUGAAGGGCUCUCUCAGCCAACCUGCCCUGUUACCGGCCUUCCUCCUCAGAACAAGGAGCCAACCAACCAAAUCCAGUUCUGGAGAGGGAGGAAAUCUACCCUGAUAGAGCAGGCAGCGUUCUACUUGUGGUCCAAUCCAAGACCCCAGCACCUUCUUGCAGGAAGAUUACCAUGGACUAAGAAAGCCAGUGGACAGGUGUUCUACAUCCAUUAUCUGCCAUGUUCACAGUAACCCUGCAAGGUAGAUAUUUGCAGUCUUCAGGUUACAGAUAGAGAAAUUAAGGCUCAGUUCAAAGGAACUUUCCCAAGGUUUGAGCAUAGCAGACCUAGGGUUGAGAUUCAGGUGGGUCAGUCUUUCUGCUACACCGUGUGGUGGCUAAAGUGAUUUUGAAGCCGUAGGAGAGGGAAGGGUGGGGGGUCUUUGGAUCUCUGUAGGUGCACUGAGCCUUGAGCUGACCCUUCCAGGCCUCCCCAAAGGAGCUGGGUAGAACACGGUUGGCAUUAAAUGGCUAGUCUUUGUAAGUUCUCCCUCAGUGACUGGGUCUUCUAGUGUCAUACACGUUAGGAAACAUCUCCGCCACAUCUGGCCCAACCUCCACCGUUCACAAAUUCGGGACUUUCUUUGGCCCAACACCCAUUUGCUAAGCGCCUUCUGGGUCUUUUGCACCAAGCCAAGAUAGGGACGGAAGAACAGGGGCCCUUGGUUUAGGUCAUGCAGGCUGAGAGUGCAGGGGUUUGGAUGAAGGUCUCAACUGUCUAGGUCAUUGAUUCCAAUCCUGCAGAGAAGCCAGUAACAUUAGAACUUCCUCUGGGCGUCUACCCAGACCGAGGUGUUCUUGAACCCAUGAGGUUGGAUAAUAUUGUGUGAAGCAUUAUCCAACCUUGUACCUCUAUCUAGUUUUUUCUUUUCACUUUUACCUCAUUCAAGCAACUAGGCCAGUGGCUAUUUUUUUUUUCAGGGAGGGAAGUGACAGUGAAAAAUACGUCUUCCCUGGUGGUGGCAGAUUCUUUAGGUUGACGCUCUCAAUCCCUGCCCUGCUGGCUAUUUCCUGUAACAGAGGCUAGGAAACCAACAGCUCACCUUGCCACCACCCUUCAGAUCGGAGUAGGCGGAUGCCUCCAGUGCUGGCGGGAAACGUAGGCCACGGUCCAUCGUAGCCACUUCCUUCCCAGCCAGCUUUGUCCUGCUCACAUGAUAUGGGAUGCCCAGGGGACAGCGGCCAUUGUUAAACAGCGCUAAACAGGCUGGAGGCUAGGAAGAGCCUGGUUCUUUGACUGCGUCUUUGUUUAGCCCUGUGCCCGAUUUUUUAAAAAAGUUUUUUUUUAUUUAUUUUUGAGAGUGGGGGACAGGGAGAGAGGGAAAGAGCGAGAAUCCCAAGCAGGUUCCGUGCCGUCAGCGCAGAGCCCAGCACGGGGCUUGAACACACGAACUGUGAGAUCAUGACCUAAGCCGAAACCAAGAGUCGGACGCUUAAUUGACCGAGCUACCCAGGUGCCCCUGUGCCCGACUUUUUUGUGUCUCACAUUAAAUUUCUAUUUGGUCAAGCCUCUGUUGUUGGGUUUCUGUGAUAUCCUUCCGGACGCAAGCCUUACUGUUUUGCUACAUUCUUGGGGGAACAGAAAGCCUUUAGGGCCCAGCUAAAGAGUGGAGAUUACAAAGUCUGUGGGUACAUUUCACAGUCUUGAUGGUGGGGGAAAGGGCAGGGAGAAGGAGAUCUAUCCUUGGUCUCUUGACCAUCUGGUAGGAGCUGUAAUUGUGGAGCACGAGGCUGUCCAGAAGCUUGGGCAGAAGGCUUGUGAGGACCAAGGAGGGGGGGGAGGACUGAGCGACAUAUCAAAGGUUGCCUGAAUAGACACAUGACAUCAAACACUGAUGGCCUCUCCCUUACCAUGUCUUAGAACUAAAGAAUCCCCAGAACUUGGCCAUGGCUUAGGCACAAGGGAGGCCCCAAUUCUGAUAUAUUUCUCUCUCUAUAUAUAAAAUAUUUAUUUUGAGAGACAGAGAGAGGGAGCAUGAGCGAACCCAGGGGAGGGGCUGAGGGAGAGGUAGAGAGAGAAUCCCAAGCAGGCUCCAUGCUGAGCAUGGGCUCAAUUUCAUGACCGUGAGAUCAUGACCUGAGUUGAAAUCAAGAGUCGGAUGCUUAACCGACUGAGCCACUCAGGCGCCCCCAGAACUUACAUAUUUUUAAUGCCUGAGCUGAGGACUGAGAUUAGCACCGGCUCUGUGUUAGCAUGGGCAGAAUAUGUAGAAACCCUCUUCGCAAGGUCGAAAUGGAUGAGUCACACUGGAUGAACCCAGGGGUCUGCCUGCCUCCACUCCUGCGUGGGGGUGGGGGGCGCGACACCAUACCCCUGAGUGGUGGCACGGGGUUGCUGAGGUUCCGAGUGUUUUGGGGGUCUCGAGCUGACCUCUGUGACGGGCUCCUUGUUCUCUCUUGCGAUCCCUGAGGUGCUCCUCAGUGUCAGGACUUGUUUCCAUUCAGCGGGUAAAUUCAGGAUGGAGGUUCAGGGAGGGUGGGCCGAGAGAGGAUGUUUGUCUCUCUGUCCUCACAGAAACGUUGCUCAAGACUGCUGAGGUGAAAGGGGGGGAGAAUUCAGCAAAUUGGUUUUGAUUUUGGAGAUGAUUAUAAUUAAGCCAAAUCGUUUCCUGCCUUCUUUCAAGGCUACCACUUUUCCAACUUUCCGUUCAGUUCGGUUCAGCCGCAGCACUGGGGUUAUUUGGUCCUCUCAGAGUUGGCUGAGAGGCGCUUUUCCAGCCCCUGGUAACCGUGUGACCUGGGGCAAGUCACUUUCAUGUGUCGCCGUGUCAUCUGUAAAAUGGAGUGGACGACUGGACCCCCUCACAGGGUUGGGUGAGGGGUAAAGCCCUGGGAACGGGACUGACACGCAGCACACAGAGCACGCCGUGGGCUACUCAUCGGGCUCAGGCUCCCUCACCUGAAGCCCCAUCAUUCCCUAGGAGACAGGGGGCACUGGCAUCACUAUGAAAAAGCUACAUCAUCCGGUGCAAGUCUAAUGCUUGCCUUCCGACAAGAGCGGCGAGCUACAAGUUCACGUUUAGAUCUUUGCCUAGGUGUCUACUGAGUAGCAUUGCUUUUUGCGUUUUGUUGGAGAGGAGGUCAUUGGCUUCAAUUCGCUCCCUUGUGCUGGAAAGGUGGUGGCUUGAUCACCGAAGGGACCCUUCUGCUCCACCCCCGUAGGGGCUUCCGAAGAUUGCCCGGUUCUAUCGCGGGGUUGAACUUCCCAUCAGGAAGUCAAGUAUGGUCGGAAUAAAUCUUUUAAAAUGAAAUCCCUGCUUGCAUCAUUUAUGGUUACAUCUUCUUUCCUUUGCUCGAUCCUAAUGGUUGCUCGAGUUUGGAUGACGAUCCCUUAUUCCUCAUCGCAGGAGCAACCCUCCCCGCCCCCACCGGGGGAGAGGGUUCUCCAUGAAAGUUGGUUUCACUCUGCUGCUCAGAAGGGCUGUAUUCCAAUGAGCUCCUUCCCUUCAUUCGUUAUGCUGAAAUCAUAUUUCUAGAGGACAGAGAUGAAUGCCGUGUACUUAUCUGAUGAAAAUGCCUGUUGUUUUAAAUCUAUUCUCACAGACUUUUCCCCUCUGAUAGACAUUCGGCGACACAACACAUUAAAAAUUAUAUCUGUAUCAGUAGUUUCCUCUGUUGUCGUUACUGUGGCCUGUGCGCAUGUGCUUGGAUCGAAGCGAGCGGCGCUAACCCAGGGGUCCCCUGUUCCGAGCGGAAUGUAUCGACAAUUCUGAAACAGUUGCCGCUUUGGAAAAAGCAAGAGUGGGUUAUAUUUUUUAUUGAUUGGCUAGAAAAAUCGCACAGUUGUGUAAGCACCAAAUGUAAAAAUUACAUUACAAUGAAAAAGUACAAGGAGACACUAUUUACCAAAGGCUUUUUACCCAAGUGGCAGUAAUGGAGUGACCCAUUGUUACAGGCAAUUCGGCAGGUCUCUCUUCUAGGCCAUUUUCCAAGUGUUUUUGCUGUUCAGCAGGGCCUGGGGAUCAGGACUGAGUAUAGUUUAGUCCUUGCCCACCGGCGUCAUCAAAACCUCCGUUCAUCUUUGAGUUCUGUGCCCCCCACCUUACCAAAAGAAUAACGCCUCCCCCAGAAUUACGCAAAAAUCGUCGGCAAAGUUAAUUGAAAUCCGGAUCUCUUAAUGGUUUUCUCUUUCUUAAGUGAUGGCUUGCCUUCUGAAAAGUGAGGUUUAAGUCAAAAGACGGCUUUAAUUGAAGAUGAGUGAAUUGGUAGGAGAGAGAAAGUGGAGGUAGAAAAUUUUCCAAGAGACUGAAAGAUAGUGUUUGCAUUUAGGAUUUCCUUUCCUUUCAAGUUUUACGCUGGGGCUUAAGGAAUGUUACCAGAUGCGAAGAAUGACCACGGCCGCUGCUCCGUUGUCUCCUUCAAGGGCUGGAAAUGCUUUGAAGGAGACCGGCCUCUUCCCUUUCCUCCCACGGGGCCAGAGAGAGCAUGAGGGGCAAAAGAGAGCACUGGAGGACUUCCUACCACCAGAAGGAGGUCAGCUUCUUUAUUCUAAAGAUUCUCCACCUUUCUGAUGAGUGAGGUAUUCAUAUCAUAGGGAUUCAGGCCUGUGAUUUGGCUUAAUGCCAGCAAUACGUGUUAUAUUUAAAGCAGCUGAUAAUCUGCAAAGUAAACUCCUUCGCUGGAUUCGCAUGCCCAUUUGGGGAGGCAAACGUAACUGGUAUUUUAAUCUCUACUUUGUGCGGGAAGACACUGAGACUCCAGUGGAUUGGAAUUUGUCCAAGAUGACCCAACCAGUGAGGGGGACUCAGGUCUUUCGGCUUUUAGGGGAAGAGGUAGGGGGUCAAGGCCCAGGCACUUACCUUGAUGGAGCUCCCGAUGCCGGGGUAGACAAGGCUCAUCAUCAGCCACUAGGGACCCACACGGUGUCCCUAUAGUGCCCUCACUUAGUGCCAGUCCUGCCACUGGGCUUUGCAAUUCAGAAUGCUGUUCUGACUCUCUUUGGUAUCUUCCCAAAUAUUCAGACAAAGAACUCCAAAAGGCAUCUGGUCAAGCUUUGCGAGGGGAGAAAACUUAUCCUCCGAUUCCCGAAGCCCUGAAGUCAGGGAUUUGAUUAUGCUUAUCAUGAUCUCAGCUUCCACCGCUCCAAAUGUGAUUAGUUUUGUAAUUAGUUAAUGUCAUUACCUGUCAUCAAAUCCAGACAAUGUUGGUCUCUCAAACCUCCCGUGGCACACAAACCCACAACCUGACAUCUUUUCACUAUUUAACAGUGAGUUGCUUUAAGAAUCCUGGCAACUGUCCCCUCUUUCCUAGACCAGAGGUCUGAGAGUUAGGGGAAAGAUGUAUUUCUUGUGUUUCUUUAAGGCGAUUUAAAAUUCUUCGGUCCGCUUCCCAAAACUUUUCUUCACUCCAAGCAAAGCAUAAAUAUAAUCUUUUCAGCAAAUCUUAUACCCCACCGUAUUUUCCUUCUUAUGUAUGUUGGCUAUAUUUUGCUUUGGGCGGAAUGGCCAAAAUAGGACCCAGUUUACCGUAGGGAAACACCCUGUUAAGAACUAUUUUUACCUUAUAGAAAAUGCUGCUUGUCUUAUUACUUACUUGCUACUAAAGACUGGGCAAAUGGUUUUCUUCUUUGCUUCGGUUCUACCAUCCAACUGAUAUUCUCUGCAUGCCUGUUGGGUGCAGGUACUUGGAAUACAGCGGAGAACAGACUGGUGAAAUCCCCGUCCUCUGGGAGCUAAUGUUCCAGUGGAGAAAGGCAGAGAAUAGGAACUGAGUGUUUAAAAGUACAGGACACAGUAAGUGGGCUGGACAUGUUCCGUUUGUCCCUCCAGACCCCCUCUUUCCCCUUUUCCACCCUGCUCUGUGGAGAAUCCUGGGAAAGUAGGUCCCUAGGGGUGACAUCAAUGGCUUCUUUGCCAAUAGGGUCUGGCUGGAUCAGGAGCUGGAAACUGAGGCACAGGAGAGUGAGGUCAGGGUGCUGCUGACGGGUGAGUCCCUCCCGCUGGCCCUAGGGGGACACAAUUGCUUUUCUGUGUGGCGGGAGUCACCCCCUCCCCAGUGCUGCUUCAAGCCUAGGGGUGAUAUCUGGUCGCCACAGUUUUGAUUUUCUUAACCCCAGUGACGCCUCUGUAAACAGACCCUUUGCUGGCCUCUCCGGAGUCACCCAUUUGAAUGAGCCCUCUGUUUCUCACCGGGACCCUGACUGGCACAGUAGGUUAAAAGGCAAUGCCAUGGAACAAUGCCAUUUCUUCCAGGCGUUUCCCCCCCCCCCCAACCCCGUUUGUCGGCUACAUUGCUUGCUGUCCUGUGCACACUUUUGGACUAAAUGUCAUCUGACUUCAGGCUGCAGUGCUCCCCUAGGACUCAGUUUCUCAUCGAUGGAGGCCACGUGAUUCGUCCUCAUUAUACGUUGCAAAACAAGGGCACCUCCUCUACAUGCUCUGAAGACGGCGAUUGUGUUCUGCGACCCUUGGCCAGCCCUCAGCACCUCGUGAAGUGUAAGGGGGCCACACAGACUUGCUCACUCCUAGACGGGUUCAGCAAGCCCCUGCUAACCAACAGGAAAGUGCGGGUGCCUGAGAUGUGGUCUUCGAGACCCUUCCCAGCCUUGCUUCCUGCCCCCACAGCCCUACCCCCUGCUCUGUGCCUGUGGGGGCAACUCGUGCAUUUCUAGCUCACCAUGUACUUUUAUUCCUCUGUGAUAAAGACCCGAUUCAGGAGUCCUCUUAGAAGACUUUGCUGGUUUCAUCAUUUUACGGAAAGGGAGAUGAUAGAUAGGUUAGACAGAUAGAUGAUAGAUAGAUAGAUAGAUAGAUAGAUAUUUAAAAGUUGUAAUUUAAUUAAAUUUCCUAAUUAUGAGAAAGUUUCAUGCUGACCAUAGAGAACAUAAAAUACAAGUUAGGAAAAUUCAUCUUCCUAUCGCGUGUAGGUACCACAGACAUUUUGGAUAUAUUCAAGAGGCUUCAACUCUAGCUUUGAGGGGAACGCACUUAUCCGUUGCCAGGCCAUCCCUGUUGACCGACGCCUUCUUGUUUUCUAAAAACUUUUAUAGAUUCUUGGACUCUUUUGCCUGCCCGGUUCACGCUGGCCUGAACUGCCCACUUAAGCCAAACUAAGUAUUUUCCUUGUCUGCAUUGAAGCUUAUUGCUUAGGUUUGGGGAGCGAAUCCAGGCUCUGUGCUUGGUAGUUCAUGGCAUCCCCUUCUUCUUCAAAACAGGGUCCAAGGUUUCAGAUGGCCUGGAGCGCUCCCCAUGCUUGUGGGUGGUUUAUAUACUUAUCACCUUCCUUCUGGAAACCCCUGAAGGAUGCUGUCCGGUCAAGGAGCUUUUGCUCCUCUGUAACCUCCCCCCGGCUAGAGACUUCAGCGUGUGUUAAGGCCACAUUAGGGCUUCCUGUGCAAAACGCCCUUGAAACCUGAAGUUCCCCAUUUCUCUUGAUAAAAGUGAGGUGGAAAGACGAAAAGCGUAACAGCUUUGUUACCUGAUGGCACUUAUUAGUUAUCUUUCCUCAGAAACAGUACUGACAGACUUCAUGCGGAUUUAAAAGUUAUACUCUGGGGGAAUUUGUCAACUCAAGCCACUGACUGAAUGCCAUUCAUAUGUUCCGUUUUUGUUUUGUUUUGUUUUUAGUCUGAAAUAGGAUAGUGCACUCAAGAAUCAUUCAAUAUAAGUUUUAGUUUAAAAUUCCCAGUUUCCAGCAGCCUAUUCAAUACACACACACACACACACACACACACACACAGGCACGCAGCAGUCUGGCUAAAAAAUAUCCUCAGGAAACCAGCCUGGAAGAACAGAGGGUGAAACAUGAAUGAGCUAUUUAGCUUUUCUUGGAAAAUGGCAUAAUUCUCAGAGGGACCAAAGCCCAAGCAUUCCCCAGAUUUUUGUCAGGCACAUGUACCAGUCCACAAAAUGCUGGAACCCCAAACACAGAAUCUGGAUUCAUUUCAAUUUCAGUAAUUCAGGUGUUUGUGGCAUAGAAUAAACACCACCCAGAAGGCAGCAAUCCUGAGUUACCAGAAGUUCCAGCGUGCAAUAUAAUUUUAGGCAACAUUUUCAGCUUCUUCUACAGAGGGGAUAGUUAAGUUAGUCAUUCAGUUCGCACAAGCAGAAUGUUUUACUAUUUGAAAAAGAAAUCCCGAAUCAACCAGCGUUUGGGACUAAUAUGGCUGAAUUAAUUUAUUUUUCUAAGGUCAUGUAGAUCGAGCUUCAAUCUGCUGGUGUCUUUAUUUCGGCAAGUCGGUGGAGUGUCCGUUGAGUGGAUGUGACAAAGUCCUGUUGUGUUAGACGUUGUGAGCUGGGACUUGACGUGAUAUCUGCUGCUUCUGGGGGAGCUUGCGAUCCAGCCGGCGAGAGCAGACAAUUCUUAUGAAACAAUCAGUGGGGAGCGCAAGGCAUUAAAUACAAAGUGUGAACAAGUAUGGGACAGGAAUCGAGAGGAGAGAGGGAGACAGAGUGGACUAGAUUGUUUCUGCAAGGCUGGAGGCCACAGGGGAUAGGCUGGAGGGAUUUGUAUAGGUUGAGGGGGAGAGAUGGUUUGUCGGGCUGGGAUUUAGCAAGAGAAAAGCCACUGCUUGCAAGAAACAUAAAUUGAACAUCCACAUGCCAGGUAUUUCUUAAAAAGAACUAAGAUCUUUACGUUCACGAGCUAAUUCUAAUAAUAACCGCAAGACAAGGUAUUUUAGCCCCGAUUUUGGGCAUGAGCAGGAUGACUUUUAAAGAUACUAAAAAAUUUGCUCAAGAUCACCUUGAAGGAAGCUGCUAACCUAGGAUUGUCUUGGGUACAGCAAAGAGGUCUGCCUGUUUAUUUCCCUGGCUUCAGAUUAGAGCAGGAGGCACUCUGGUCAAUUGCGUUUUGCACGUCCUGGCACAACGAGUGAAGACAUGGAUGGGAAAACUUAGGGGUGAAAACAAAACACAUCUGGAUGUUUGCUGAGCUUCGGAGCCCAAGAAGAAGGGGGAGGAUUGCUCAUGCUGGAGGUAGCUGCAGUGAUGGCCACCCUGGACAUCAUGCGACCCCCCCACCCCCAACAGCUCCCAUGUAGCGGGGGAGCUGGGGGUGGGGAGGAGGGAGGUCUUCUUUCUCCACUCAAAGACAGAGUCAGCACAUAGGUUCUGCUGCCCUGGGACAGGCCUCAGAAAGUUUUCUACUCGGAAAGGAGUUGAAAAACAUGUGGCAGAUGGCAAAUUUUCCCUAAAUCUGUCCUCCUUUUCUCCCUGGACGUGAAGUCAUUCAGCUAGAGACCCUACUUCCCACCCUCCCUUUCUGGACGUCAGACGAAGUUGUUGCCUAUGAAAUGUGAACAGAAGUGAUGUGUGCAACUUCUGUUUUCAGCUCCUAAUUGGAACUCAUUCUUCCUAGGCUUCCUUUCUUCCUCCCUUCCGGUGGGCUGGAACCCGGAUGUGCUGGCUGCCCCAUUAAACCAAGCACAGUGCCCUGCAGGAUGGGGGGCAACAAGAGGGAAGGAUCUGGAUCUCUCCAUCACUGUGUGAAACAGAACAUUCUGCCAGCCUGCACUGUCCAACUCGAGAGCGUGAAAGGGAAAGCAAUUCGAUCCUGGGAGCCACUGUGUUUUGUUGUCUGUUUCACAGAAGAGCUGAGGUUUUUACCCUGAAUAAUGCAGAACAUUUCUGGGCUGGGAAGCAGAGAAUUGAUUUCAGGUCAUUAUCUUGUCUUCCCUCAUUUUUUUCCUUCUUUCCUUCAUUCCAAAAAUAUUACCGAGCACCAACUCUGUACCAGCCAUGCUAAAGUAACAAAAGAGUCAUGCUCCUAUCCUGCCGGCGCCUCCCUUCUAGCAGGGAAGAGAGACACAGCAGGUAGACAGACAUAAAAUUGAAGCACCUGCCGACUGGAGUAUGUGUUGCGAAGAACAUAAACGUCCAGAUGCAUGGGCGACAGAAAGCCACUGUAGCCAGCAUGGUCAGAGGAAGCCUCCACGAGGAGGUGGUGUUUCAGCUGAGCCCUAAAGGAAGACAAGAAAUAGGUGUGCAGAAAGUGGGGACACACCCUUCCAAGCGGACGAGAGCGUGUGCCAAGGCCCCACACGAGGAAGAACUUAUUGAGGACAGGGAACUGGAGACAGGAAUGAAGAGUGGAGAGAGACACAUUCCAAUUGGCGAUAUGGCUGGGGGCUGGUAUACCAGUGGCUUUUGAAGGGUUUCAACAAGGGUGUGUUGCGGGAGAGAGAGAGAGAGAGUGCACUCACUCCGUUAUUAAGAUCGCUUUUACUACUUUAUAGACAAAGUACUGUGAGAAUUUCUGCAGCUGGCAUAACCUCUAGUGGUCCUAGCAGUGAAGGAUGAGAUGGGUCAUAAAAGUCGCAGGGGCACCUGGGAGGAUCAGUCAGUUAAAUGUCCAACUUUUGGUUUCGGCUCAGGUCACGAUCUCCCAGUUCGCGGGUUCGAGCCCCGCAUAGGGCUCUGUGCUGACAGUGUAAAGCCUGCUUGGGAUUCUCUCUUUCCCCCUCUCUCUGCCUCUCCCCUACUCUCACCCUCUCUCUCUCUCAAAAUAAAUAAACUUAAAAAAAAAUGUUACAUUCACGUAGAUGAAAAAUGCAGCAUAGGGGAUAUUUUAAAAAUCACAGAAUUUCUCUAUCCAUAUAAUAUUUGAAUUCAGUUAAAAUAAAUACAGGGGCACCUGGCUGGCUCAGCCGGUAGAGCAUGUGCGUCUUGAUUUCGGGGUCAUGAGUUGCAGCCCCACGUUAGGUGUGGAGCCUGUUUAAAAAACAAAGUAAGUACAAGCCAGUAGUUUUAAACAUGAAGUUGGAAGAGGGUUUUGUAAGCAACGUGUUGUCAAUUUCACACAGGCUGCGAAAUCCUGGUUCAGACUUUAGAGGUGCAGGCAUCUUGUCGACAUGUGUAGUUUAGGGGUGUGGCUGAGGUUGUUGAAAAAGGGGUCUCCCCAGAGACACUGUGCACUGCCAUUUCUGGGGCUUGUAGGGGUUGUUGCCGUGGUGGGGCUUCUGGAAGCUUCUCAGGGCCCUGGCCUUUGGAAUUUCUACUCCUGGUUUGGAGACAGUGAAGAAGGAAAUGGGCACAUUUUCAUUUAUAAAACUUCUCAGACUGUUAAAGCUACCUGUUUUUUUCUCAAGCAAGUAAAGGCUGUAUUUAAGAACCGUCGUUUCCUUCAAGUAUUAAUUUUUCUGAGUGAGAUUUUGCCUCUUAAAGGGCAAUAUCCUGACUCCUUUUGAAAUAGCUGUUCACAGGCAAGUUCUUUCAGGAAGGAAAUGAUACAGUUCCCAGACUUGCAGAUGUCAAUGCAGUUAUUAUUGGGGUGUUCUUUCUAAGGUUUUGUGUUUCCCCAGCCUUGCUGAGAUGUAACUGACAUCUAACGUUGUGUAAAUUCAGGUGUCCGGGGCCUGGAUUAGACACACUUACAUAUUGCACAUUUCUAAUUUUUUAACCGUUGUCUUCAGAAAUAGGACAUUGUUGUUUAUCUUUUUUUUUUUGGACAGAUGAGUGAUAUCAGGGUCUGAGGUAGACCAAAUUAAGGAUAUUGUGAGAUGCUAAUUUCUUGGUGAUUUUUUUUUUUUUUUUGCAUAUCUAAGAAAUCUAACAAGAAAAGAAGUCCAAGUUUCAGCUUCUGCACAUCAGGAAAUGGUUAGUGUGGCCCAGUCUCGCCUUACAGACCUGCUGGGGAGGAAAACCUUCCUUUCUCUUCCCUUCCCCCCAUCUCUUUCCAUCUCUUACCCCAAAGGAUUCUCCGAGGGAACCGGGGUACGCUUGACUGCCCCUGGAGAAUGGCCGCCCUCUGUACAGCUGCUCCCGGGAAUCAGCCUUGGAACAGGGCUCUCCUGGGGGCAGGAGGAGGGAAGCGGGGUCAAACAUAGCUGGAUUUCCUAUGGCCAGGCUUCCUUGCAUGCUCUUUCUUCCUCUGCUCCAAAAAAAAAAAAAAAAAAGCCCCUGGAAGAGGCCUGGGGAGUCAGAUCAAAUGUACUGGCCCAGAGCCAAAGCUUGACUUGUCCCAGCCUGAGUCUCCGACCAGGGACUCCACGUUCUCAAGUCUUCAUUUCUGUCCCGUUGAAACUGAUAGGGAAGGUUAAUGAGAUUAACAUGGCCAAACACUGUAGGCUUCUGAGAAGGAGCCAGAUACGUGCCGGCCGCUGCGGAAAAUACUGGCGGGGCCGUUCUUCUUGGGGACAUUUUACUGGACUCUCCUCUAGUAAAACUUGAUUGUUUUUAUCAGACAAUUCAAAAGUAGCGUGUAUUCAGGGCUAGUCACACCAGUGGCUACUCAGUAAAUGCCUGCUGGGUCCACGCAUGAGUGAGUGCCUUAUUUUAUUGUAUUUCGCUUCUGACCUUUUCACCAACUUGGCCCAUCCCUGGCCACCUUUCCAAAUAUACAGUGAUUAAUAUUUUCUAGGAUAGGUCCUUUGAUUCAGAAGAGCCAUUGGGUCUGUGAUGAAAUGUGGUAAAACGAAGAAAGAGUCAAGGACAAACCCCAAACCCUGUAUGGGGCAGAAAGAGGAACUCUCUCUGUGGUUGGAGAUUUUCUGAAUAAAAUGUUCCCGAGAAAGGUGGAGAAGAUGGAAAUGUUUGUGUGUCUGUGUGUGUGUGUGUGUGUGUGUUUAUGAGUAUUUUUAAACACGAACUAGAAGCGAAAGGCGGAGAAGGAGGAAGAAAUUUUGGUAAAUCUAUAAAGUCCCCACAAUUUAUGAGAGUUUAAAAGGCAAUUUCUUUUUAAGGGGCAAAUUCCUAAUUUCCCACAUAAAAGUAUGGGAAUUGAAUGGUAAAUCCUUCUGUGGCGACAAGACCCCUGAAAAGAGGUAUGAAAAAGAGUUACUGUUCCUUUUCCAUUCAUGUGUCUUGAAAGCCGGUGGAUGUGAAACUGCCCUGCCAACACACAGCCCGGGGUUUCAAAGCUGCCCGGAUGACUUUUCAGAAAUGAUCUAUUGUGACGCUUUGUUUUGUCCGGGUUGCCCUCGUUUUGUUCUGCUUGGGCUGUAUCACUCUUCUGCCGCUGCCAUGAAUCCACUCUGUCUGCUCCUCCCCAUUCAGAGGUAUUUUUACCCCCUGCCCCGCAAGGGGAGUCCGGGGACAAGUGGCUGAAAGGCUCAGCAUUGCUGCUGUGGAGAGAGGGACCGAGGCCGAGAGGCCAGGGGUGGGGGCGGGGAAGGAGCAGGUGGGUGGGGUGCUGGGUGCAGAGACUCACCUGGGUGGUUAGGGUGUCGGGGAAGAAAAAGGACAGGGAGCUGGGUGGGGCAGGGGGAGGGAGGGGAGCGCGCAACGCAACGUGCACGGGCUUUAUCCUCUGCCUGCCGGGAGGCUGAGCACCGUGGAAAAAACCUUUCCUUACUUACACUUGAGCUGAAGGGCUGAGCUGCUUGGGUGCGGCACGGGCACCAGGAAUGGGGGCCCCCGCAGAGCCUGCGAAUGAAACCCUGCCCUUAAUUUUCAGUUUUGAAUCGGUUAACUUACCUGCAGUUACAUACAUGAGCUCCCUGGAGCCCGGGUGUGGUCGGACUGGAAUAAAAUGACAAACGGUACAAUGGUUUGUAAAGCAGACCAUUACAUCUGAAAUUUGUUGUUUGGGGAGUGACUCAGAUGUGGUUGCCAUCCUCUUGGAAAUAUCAUUGGUUUUCAAUUAUAUUCUAAAUAGGGAAGAUGCUUCUUUUUUACAUCUCUGUCCUACACAUCACUCGCUUUUUUAAGGAGAUUUUUUUUAAGUUUAUUUUUAUUUAUUUUGAGGGGGGUGGGCAGAGGGAGAGGGUGAGAGAGAAUCCCAAGCAGUCCCUGCGCUUUCCGCUCUGAGUGACCGCUGCGAGAUCACGACCUGAGCUGAGAUCAAGAGUCUGAUGCCCACCUAGGUGCCCCGCAUCACUUACUUUUUAAAAAAAUUUUUUUCCCAACGUUUAUGUUUGAGAGACAGAGGGAGACAGAGCACAAGCAGGGAGGGCAGAGAGAGAGGGAGACACAGAAUCCAAAGCAGGCUCCAGGGUCUGAGCUGUCAGCACAGAGCCGGACGUGGGGCUCGAACCCAUGAACUGUGAGAUCACGACCUGAGCCAAAGUCCGGGCGUUUCACUGACUGAGCCACCCAGCCCCCCCACCCGCAUCACUUACUUUUAAGUGCAAGAGGGCUGCUCAAAAGUCCCAAAGGGUCCCGUGAUAGGCUGGGUUAUAAAUUAGUAACAAACUCCCGCCGAAUACCACAGUAGCUUACCACAUUAGUUUUGUUGAUCUCUGUACACAUCCAGCAGGGGGCAGCAGGGAGCUCUGGUCAUCACAGCUGUUCAGGCAUGUGGUGCAAUAGAGGGUCAGUCUCUGUGCAUCCAUGAUCUCCGUGGACAGAAGAAGGUACCUCUCAAGACUCUCACACCGGCAAUUAAACGUCUGACCCAGAUGGUGCUUUCCCUGACAACUAAGUCCAAUGGCUGCACCCUGUUGCUGGGGCCAGGAGGCUCCCUCGCUGGGGUGCAGGAGAAGGUGGAGAACCAGCCAUCUGCCGGAACACGUUCUUAGGAAUAAGCAGAGGGCUGCAUAAAAAGAAGGAAAGAAAGAAAGAAAGAAAGAAAGACAGAAAGAAAGACAAAGAAGGACAGCAAGCCAUUUUCAAAACUUUAACCGAAUGGCAAAAAACCGAAUGGCACAUGUUUUGACCACAAUAUGAUUAGCCCUAGCCUCUACUGUCCUUUGAGCUGUGUGACCUCAGGCAGAUUACCUAACUUACCAGGCCUCCCUCCAUUCCAUCACUGAUAAAGUGAAUCGGUGGGUUUGAUCACUGGUUCUCCAACCUGAGUGAGCUUUAGAUCACCAGGGUCUUAUUAAAGCAUUCGUGAUGGGACCUCACCCCCCACCGUCUCUGAUUCAGCCGGCCUGGGGGUGGGCCCAAGACUUCGGAUUACUAACAAGUUGCCCGGCGAUGUUGAUGCUUCUGGUCCAAGGAUCACAUUCUGAGCUGGUCUCCAGGUGAACUCUAGAGUCUGAUGCAGCUGAGAAAUUUAAUCUUUCCUAUAGGGAACGGGGUAGAAUUAGUCGAGGAGUUGCCUAAGAGCUGCAGUAAAGCUUUCAUGUUGAAAUUUGACCGGAAAAGGAUUCACCGGAGCGUCACCAACCCCUAACCUUUUGUGAGAGCACAUUUGCAUGUUGGGUUGACACAUAGAGCUUAAAGACACAUCUCAAUUACAAGAUGUGGUCCAGACAGCUGCCCUUGCGGGGACAGAGGCGGCCACUCAACUCUGAGCAAUUACUUAAAAUUAGACUUGUCAAAUUUGUUUAGGGUGACCAGGCAAGUACAUACAUUGACCUAAUGUCACUCUUCCUAGGGAGACGUUGUAAUGAUUUUGUAUAUCAGUCAAACUAUUCAAAUACUAACGCCGCCUUCAUGCCGUAAUCAACAUUCUGGUCAGAUGUCAUCUUUAGAAGCCCUUGGGGAUUUGCAUCGCUUAAUUAUUCUUCAAUACCCAAACCAAGCAUUCUUUAAUUGGUGUAAAUUGAACGGUGUUCCAGUGCAAACAAGGAGAGGGCACACUGAUCAAUGAUUCCGUGCAUGUCUAUUGGAAAGCCAUUGCCAUUAGAUCAAAUCACAAACCUCAACUCCUUUUGCUUCAGUGGGAGCACUAGCUCAUGGAACCAGCAAAUACUAUUUCUACUUACGUGGUCACGAUUGACACGCACGGGGUCUGUUGUGAAUCCGAAAGGUCUCGCCUUUCAGGGAAAGGGUUAAAAAAUCCAUCCCAGAGGUACUUUCUGUUCCAAUGUCAAAAACUGCCUUUUGCUGAGAAUUCAACUAGAAACAAAGUGUUUCUAUCCUCCUAUCAUUUGGUGUCUGUCUCUUUCUUUCUCUUUCUCUCCUUCUCUUUCUCUUCUCUUCUCUUCCUCUUUCUCUUUCUUUCUCUUUCUCCUUCUCUUUCUCUUUCUCAAUUGGACAUGAUAUGAAAUUUUCGUUAAUUUGUCAAGCCAUUCUCUCCCAUGAUAUACUUUUUGUUGUUGUUGCUUCUCCUGAGAGUGUGUGAUUCACCCCAUCCUACAUCGGGCUGUGGCCGGGUAACGGGAAACAGGUGUUCCCUUCUACUUUUAAUAUGACUGAAAAAAACCUCGAGGAACUGUACAUAAGAAGCCCAGGAAAAAUCCUCAUAAAUGUGUCGGGGCCACUUUUCAUUCUUGUCCCUUUGUAUCAACUCUCUCGAAUCAUUCUUUGUUGCUGGGGUGGGAAGAAAAGGAAGCCACAGGACCGUCACACGCCCCUGGCUCAGAUCUGCCAGUCUCCCGCUCCCUCAGCUCAGAAAACCGCGCUGAUACUCGAAGUGUGGUGUCCAUGUGAGUUCGUUUCUAGUCUAUGUUUUUAGUCUAGUUUUUGACAAAAUGCGCUGGUUCUUAGGCGGGGAGUCUUUCAGGUUGAUUUAAGUUUGACUUUCAGAGCGGUCCAGGGUUGGAUGCUUCCAAUGGAGUAGGGGUGGGGUGGGGAGUAGAGAGGUGUCAGCUUCCUUGAUGAUCUUUGUUCAAUUGCUUAGAUAUAAAGAGGGACUUCUGGUGGGUAAGCUUGUUGGGGUAGCGUGUCUCCAUGUCGGGUGCUGUCAUUUACACGCAUCCUGACAGAGAGUAUAUGGCUUCGUUUCUAGCAAUCUAGCCAGAAGUUUUGAGGACCUCGGUGCAGGCGUUAUGAGGGUGACUUAGAGUCCGGGGCUUCACCAAUCGAGCCCUGCUGGAAGCAUGCAGACAGGGUGACAUCUGACGGCCAUCUUCCUGUGCCUUGGUAGGUGUCACGGACCAGAACAUCACCCUUAAAAUAAAAGCGCAUCUGUGCCGGGAAGCCAGAGGAGAUCAGCGUUUUUUUAUUUGGAUCAGUGUUGAGAGCGACAGAGCAGACUUGAAAAUGGGCGGCGGAAGCGAUCUACCCCCCAACUGUUUUGAGGGACCCCUCGGAGUCUGCCGUGAUGUGGUUCCCCACCCUCCCUGUGUCAUUUUUACCACCCUUCCUCCUACAGACACAGUUGCCUGGCUUUCUGCAGCCCUGAGACUGUCAAAUAUGACCUGAGAGCAAGGUUCCGGUCCUGGCGGCUCCUUUAGAAGACGUGUGACCUUUCUGCGUUUCGAUUUCAUCACCUGCAGAAAGAGGGGGUCUGACUAGGAGAACUCUAACAUCCUUUGGGGAUAUAACAGCUGAAGAGCUAUUUUCUCCGGUACCAACGCCCAUGGAAGCCAAGGGAAGGGAGCCCAUGCUGCCUUUCUUUGGAGUCCUUGGUCUGGGCUCUCAUGCAUGGACAUGGCCAUCAGGUGGCCUGGAAUCACAUUUACAAUGGAGACUCUGGUUCAGUAAGUCCGAGGUGGGGGCUGAGACAUUUGCUUUUCUGACAGCUGUCAGAUGAGGUAGCAACUUGGAACAGUAAGGCCUCGGGCAGUAGGCUAAGUGGAGCGCCGGGGUUGGUGUGGUUUCCUCAGCGCUGGGUGUCCACACAGCCCAGUGCGUUGUUGUUCGGUGUUUGAACAAAUUCAUGCCGGGAUGGGAGGGGGAGCAUUGGAGAGCAGGGUAAGCCACGGACAGCUGAUCCUGUGCUCAGGUCUCAUCGUCACCAUCUCCCAUAUUACUUCAUUUUUGUCUUUUUUUUUUCUUUUUAAAGAUUUUUUUGUUGUUGUUGUUUUUAAGCAGUCUCUACAUCCAGCGCGGGGGUCGAACUCACAACCCUGAGAUCAAGAGUCGCACGCUCUACACUGAGCCAGCCAGGAAGCAGGAGGGAGGCAGAGACUUAGGGCAGGCACGGGGUGGGAAGAAGCAGGUAUCUCUGCUUCACGUCUGUCUCCUGAUUCAUCAUUUGGAGACCAUAGCUCUCAAGCACAUACUCUUUCAUGCUUUCUUUCCUCCCCCUGUUGGUUCCUCUUUCAUGUCCAUUUCAACCACAGCCAAUUAUUUAGAGGGAGUGCAGGGUUCUGCACAGCGUGACUGUGGCUCAAAACACCACCGUUUUGUGGAGGGAGCGCUGGGCUGGGAGGGAAAAUAUAUGGGUGAUAUUCUGGCUGGCCCACUGACUAGGGCAGUGAAUGACGAUCCAUCAAAUGCUCUGAGCUCUGAAGUAGGAAGGACCCUUCCAGCCUAACUGUUCACAGGACAUAAUGUUUGUGAAGGUCUUACUCCACAUGUAGGUUAAUGUGAGUUUGAGUUUUCACUCUGCUGUCCCAGGGGUAGUCCUCUCUGGGGGCCAGAGAUCCUGCCCCAGGCUUCUCUUGCCACCCUGGGCUCUCUUGAGUAUGAACUUAGAGAAGCAAGUUCUCUCCUGCUUCCCUCUCUGUCUCCCUCCCUGCCUCCCUCCCUCUCUUUCUGCUUUUUUUUUUUUAAUUAAGUUUAUUGAUUUAUUUUGAGAGAGAGAGAGAGGUCAUGAGCGGGGGAGGGACAGAGAGAAAGAAGAAAGAGAAUCCCAAGCGGGCUCUGCACUGUCAGUGCAGAGCCUGAUGCGGGGCUCGAUCUCACGGACCGUGAGAUCAUGACCUGAGCCGAAGUCGGAUGCUUAACCGACUGAGCCACCCAGGCGCCCUGGAAAUGUUUGCUUUUGCAUGUAAUCUAUUCUGAGCACACAAAUUCCCUGAACUUUACUGAUAAGAAUCAACUUGGGUUCUUGAGAAGCUCCCUCCACCGUUUCCAGGCAGUUUCCCCGAGUCAGCGGGUCCCGGAGGGGUCAGGGGGCAGUGAGAAUCAAUCCUCCCGUCCUGUUCUCCUUUUCUCUGUCUUUUCAAAGACUUCCAAUUGGUUCUUAUUUUCAGAGAAGUUUAGGAAAGAGUGUUUGGUGCAAGGUUCCUGGUGUGGCUGCAUUUUGGGUCACCUGGGAAAAGUCCCGAUGUCUGGGUGACACUCCAGAUCAGAAAGGCUGGGGAUAGGACCCUGCAUCAGUAAUGUUUAAUAUCUCCCCAGGGCAUUCCCAGGUGAAGUCUGGGUUCAGAAGCUCUGGCUCCAUUUCUGACUGACUCACAUAGCCCACGGAAGAAGUCGGGGGAGCCCAUCACCUCGUUUGUAGGUCAGUGAUUCCCUAACGUGACCACACAUUAGAACCGUGCAGGCACCUUUUGAAACUCCUGAUGCCUAGGUCACACUUUAUACCAAUCAAGUCAGAAUGUCUGGGGGUGGGAGCCCGGCAUCAGGAUGUUUUAAAGAUCCUGGGUGAACCCCCUGGGCAGCAGAGCCCAGAUUCUAUGUGGAUGCAAGUUUCGGUGAUGAACCAUGUGGCUCAGGCCUUCAGCUUCGCUGCUACUGAGGAUAGGCUGUCUUUCCCCCGUGGUCUUGAAGCACCCCCAAAUCUGCUGGGGAGUUCUGUCCCAUCUUCACAGGGACUUCCUAGCAGCGGACCCCGUUAGCACCAAGCAGGAGAAGCCUCUGCCUAAGCGUGUAGCAUUUCUUCCUCUCCUGUAGACAACCACCUGCUGACCUAGGAGAGGGACUUUUCUUAGUAUACAGUGUGCUGCUGAAUUAGGGUGAAAUUCACAUGACGUGGUAAGUUUUCAUGGGCACAGCCACUUUAGUUGAUUUACCUACUAUCGAUGCCUGCUUUGGCAUUCUAACACCACGAGUCGUCAUGACAGAACCAAAAGCCUGCAAGGACUAAAACACUCACGAUAUUUUGGGGAAUCUUUGUCAUAACCCCAUGUAUGGAAAUUCUGAAGUUUCAACAUAGUUUAUUCUUAUUUUUUUCAUGACAUAACUUAUAAGCUCAGCUAGAUGAACGCAUAGGAUGGAAAAGCUAUGAAAAUUUGGAAACAGAAGAGUAGUGAGGGGACACUUGCCCUUCCCCUCGUGAGGGAGAUAGUACAUAUGUCACGGAGCUGUAUUAACUAAAGGAUGUGGUGCAGGUGCAGAAAUAAGCAGGUCAAUGGAAAAGACCAGAAGUUGAGAUCGAGGUGGCGUUUCAGGCCGCUCAGGAGGAGAGAGAUUCGUCCGUAGAAGGCGUUAGACACAUUUCAUUGAGACUGGCCGUGUAGAAAUCAGGAAGCUGGGGGGCGCCUGGGUGGCUCAGUCGGUUGACCGUCCGACUUCGGCUCAGGUCAUGAUCUCACCGCUUGUGAGUUCGAGACCCGCGUCGGGUUCUGUGCUGACAGCUCAGAGCCUGGAGCCUGCUUCGAAUUCUGUGUCUCCCUCUCUCUCAGCCUCACCCCCACUCAUACUCAGUGUCUCUCUCUCUCUCUCUCUCUCUCUCUCAAAAAUAAACAUUAAAAAAAGAAAUCAUGAAGCUGGAUCUCCUUCUACUCCUUUGAAAUACAUUCCAGAGGAAUAAAAUAUUUAAAUGUGGGGCGCCUGGGUGGCGCAGUCGGUUAAGCGUCCGACUUCA
This 33158-nucleotide long non-coding RNA is filed under the name Lynx pardinus (Iberian lynx). The record is from RNAcentral. Lineage: Eukaryota; Metazoa; Chordata; Mammalia; Carnivora; Felidae.